Trichomycterus rosablanca is the source of this 906-nucleotide long non-coding RNA. RefSeq lists it as uncharacterized. The record is from RefSeq and is a predicted model, not a curated record. The transcript has 5 exons. NCBI's taxonomy places the organism in Eukaryota, Metazoa, Chordata, Actinopteri, Siluriformes, Trichomycteridae.
CUGAGCGCCACAUGGAGAGCAGCGUGUUCACAACCGAAGACAGACUGCGUAUUUCUAUCCACUUUAUAACAUGAAUAUUAUUAAUAAAGUUAACAUUUUACAUUCUUUAAUUCUAAUAGGUAAGUAAGAACUGUGGACUCAUGUAUCUAGCGAAUAAUAACAGGGUGAAAAUAGACUUGCAUUAUGUGUCGUUGCUAAAAAAAAAAGUAUAAAUUCUUAUUUUAUUUCAUUUUUGCCUUCAUGUGUUGCCCGUUCGUUUUUCCCUAGAUGAAUGUGGUGUCAGAAAAGGCGCACAGGAACUCCUGUAAUGGUUUAUAAUCACAAAACUCCCUCAGAUUCUGUGAUUUCUCUGUUACAAGCACAUCUUUAACGCUGCAUGUGCACAAGAGUUUAAAAGUGUUCCAUUGUAUUAAAGCCUGAUGUCUUUUUCUCUCAUGCAGGCAGGAAUGUGAGCUUCCCUGUACAGGAGACCCUGACCUGGUGCAGAGACCAUGUGGAGAUCUGAUCAUGCCAUGUGCAUGUUAACUGCAGGCAGGAAUGGGAGCCUCCAGGAGACCCUGUACUGGUGCAGAGACCAUGUGGAGACCUGAUCCUGCCAUGUGCAUGUUAACUGCAGGCAGGAAUGUGAGCCUGAGAGACCAUGUGGAGAUCUGAUCAUGCCAUGUGCAUGUUAACUGCAGGUAAGCGUGUGUGCCUUGUACUGCCCGCCAUGAGGGAGCUGAACACAGGAGGAGCUGUGCUUCUAUUCAUGACAGAUUGCUGACCAUGAAGUACAGCGGAUAGGAACGACGGCGGCGGCCCACCAGCAUCACCGUUACAGCCGAGACGCCGUCAGAUCCAAUCCAAGCGCAAAGCUGAACAGUCAUGAAAGAUCGCGAUUAAUAAAACGAAUUCAAUACCUUGAAA